GGACCCACUGGUGGUGUGCAGCUCAGAGCUGCUGUAUUUUAUCAGCAUCACUCCCAGAGCACUCUCCUGGUGGCAUUUGGUGCCGGAGCCGAGCGCUGCCCAGCAGUAAUUAAUGGGGCCCUUUCCUACCCCUGAGCUCCACAUUAGUGGACUAUCAAUUAUUGAAGGCGGGUUGUACAUUUCUGAGCUGGUGAAUAACCGAGGGGGACUGCUGAGAGUCCAGAAGUGGCUGUCAUCUUCUCAUUAGAUCCCUGAGGAGAGUUGUGAGGAGACCAACCACCGAGGGCAAACUUACCCUAAACAUUCUGAGCUGUGGGCUUUGAGCAGAGUCUCAGGUCCCACCAGCACCACAACCUCCAAACCCCCAGGGAUAAAACAUGCUUUGGGAAACUUGUAAUCCCUCCAUCCUCCUGCCACGAAGCCCUGGAGCUAAGAGGGUUUUGAA
Molecule: long non-coding RNA, 445 nt
Organism: Empidonax traillii (willow flycatcher)
Lineage: Eukaryota; Metazoa; Chordata; Aves; Passeriformes; Tyrannidae
Exons: 3
Source: RefSeq, a predicted model, not a curated record